AAUGAGUGAGAAUGGAGGAUUCUGACUUUAUCUUGCAGCAUGGGAUCUGGGAUCUGUGGCUGCAGUCAAAGGGAAGCUUGUCAAAACCAGAGGGUGUAAUCAACAAGCAUGUCCUAUUGUGAAGCGAGGCAGACACCUAGCGUCUGGUUCAAAUUCAUUCACUGGUUCCCUAACAGUCUUGGAGGACCUCCCCACAUCUGUGUUGGUCUGCAAUUAACAGAAUUGCUGUAGGCUGAUUAAACCACGAGAGAAGGGUGGCUUGGAGUUGUACACCACCUGCAGUUGAACACCGGUAUGGGUGAGAUUUGAGCUACAGAGUUGUCUUUAUCCUCCAAGGCAUUUUGUUGCUCACGCUGGUAUU
RNAcentral lists this long non-coding RNA (361 nucleotides) under Coturnix japonica (Japanese quail). RNAcentral's name for it is "lncRNA (ENSCJPG00005015304.1)". The record is from RNAcentral. Lineage: Eukaryota; Metazoa; Chordata; Aves; Galliformes; Phasianidae.